RNAcentral lists this unclassified non-coding RNA (87 nucleotides) under fungal sp. RNAcentral's name for it is "partial internal transcribed spacer region". Lineage: Eukaryota; Fungi. The record is from RNAcentral.
UGGAUCAGGAGAGCGCUAUGACCGAUUUGCUCAAGCGAUACUUGGAAGAUUUUGAAGCGGGGCAGACCUUUCGGUCCGGCCGCAUCC